CCUACGGGUGGCAGCAGUCGAGAAUCAUUCACAAUGGGGGAAACCCUGAUGGUGCGACGCCGCGUGGGGGAAUGAAGGUCUUCGGAUUGUAAACCCCUGUCAUGUGGGAGCAAAUUAAAAAGAUAGUACCACAAGAGGAAGAGACGGCUAACUCUGUGCCAGCAGCCGCGGUAAUACAGAGGUCUCAAGCGUUGUUCGGAAUCACUGGGCGUAAAGUGUGCGUAGGCUGUUUCGUAAGUCGUGUGUGAAAGGCGCGGGCUCAACCCGCGGACGGCACAUGAUACUGCGAGACUAGAGUAAUGGAGGGGGAACCGGAAUUCUCGGUGUAGCAGUGAAAUGCGUAGAUAUCGAGAGGAACACUCGUGGCGAAGGCGGGUUGCUGGACAUUAACUGACGCUGAGGCACGAAGGCCAGGGGAGCGAAAGGGAUUAGAUACCCCGGUAGUC
Molecule: ribosomal RNA, 446 nt
Filed under: uncultured bacterium
Lineage: Bacteria
Description: partial 16S ribosomal RNA
Rfam family: Bacterial small subunit ribosomal RNA
Source: RNAcentral